CACAAGCUUGUGAGGACACAUGUCAUAGGAAACAUACUUUUUUUAAAUCUUGGUAGGAGUUUCACCAAAAACCCUUUUAAUUUCAUCAAAAAAAAAAAAACUUAGUAAGAGUUGCAUACAGUCUAUAGUAUUUACUAGAGAGAUAUAUUGAAGCUAAUAUGAAGAACAGUUCCAAACUUAGUACUGCAAUGAUCUCAAAACUGACCCAUAGGCUGAGUGUAAGUAUGUUCAUGU
This 234-nucleotide long non-coding RNA is filed under the name Elaeis guineensis (African oil palm). RNAcentral describes it as "long non-coding RNA (EGUI_LNC021007)". Lineage: Eukaryota; Viridiplantae; Streptophyta; Magnoliopsida; Arecales; Arecaceae. The record is from RNAcentral.